GUAGCGCGGUGGUCCCACCUGACCCCAUGCCGAACUCAGAAGUGAAACGCCGUAGCGCCGAUGGUAGUGUGGGGUCUCCCCAUGCGAGAGUAGGGAACU
Molecule: ribosomal RNA, 99 nt
Filed under: Escherichia coli
Lineage: Bacteria; Pseudomonadati; Pseudomonadota; Gammaproteobacteria; Enterobacterales; Enterobacteriaceae
Also listed under: 10 other names
Source: RNAcentral